CCUACGGGUGGCUGCAGUAGGGAAUAUUGGGCAAUGGAGGCAACUCUGACCCAGCCAUGCCGCGUGCAGGAUGACGGCCCUCUGGGUUGUAAACUGCUUUUAUACGGGAAGAAAAAAUACUACGUGUAGUAUACUGACGGUACCGUAAGAAUAAGGAUCGGCUAACUCCGUGCCAGCAGCCGCGGUAAUACGGAGGAUCCAAGCGUUGUCCGGAUUUAUUGGGUUUAAAGGGUGCGUAGGCGGAUCUUUAAGUCAGUGGUGAAAGCCUGCAGCUU
This 275-nucleotide ribosomal RNA is filed under the name uncultured bacterium. RNAcentral's name for it is "partial 16S ribosomal RNA". It matches the Rfam family "Bacterial small subunit ribosomal RNA", at positions 338 to 610 of the family's 1533-position model. The record is from RNAcentral.